This 277-nucleotide ribosomal RNA is filed under the name Photobacterium phosphoreum. Its description in RNAcentral is "partial 23S ribosomal RNA". It matches the Rfam family "Bacterial large subunit ribosomal RNA", at positions 1 to 273 of the family's 2925-position model. The record is from RNAcentral. Lineage: Bacteria; Pseudomonadati; Pseudomonadota; Gammaproteobacteria; Vibrionales; Vibrionaceae.
GUUGUAUGGUUAAGUGACUAAGCGUACACGGUGGAUGCCUUGGCAGUCAGAGGCGAUGAAGGACGUAUUAACUUGCGAUAAGCCCAGAUUAGGCAGUAAAAGCCACUUGAGUCUGGGAUUUCCGAAUGGGGAAACCCACUUGCAUAAGCAAGUAUCAUUAACUGAAUACAUAGGUUAAUGAAGCGAACCGGGGGAACUGAAACAUCUAAGUACCCCGAGGAAGAGAAAUCAACCGAGAUUCCGGUAGUAGCGGCGAGCGAAACCGGAUUAGCCCUUA